This 72-nucleotide transfer RNA is filed under the name Ovis aries (sheep). It matches the Rfam family "tRNA". Rfam says of the family: Transfer RNA (tRNA) molecules are approximately 80 nucleotides in length. Their secondary structure includes four short double-helical elements and three loops (D, anti-codon, and T loops). Further hydrogen bonds mediate the characteristic L-shaped molecular structure. tRNAs have two regions of fundamental functional importance: the anti-codon, which is responsible for specific mRNA codon recognition, and the 3' end, to which the tRNAs corresponding amino acid is attached (by aminoacyl-tRNA synthetases). tRNAs cope with the degeneracy of the genetic code in two manners: having more than one tRNA (with a specific anti-codon) for a particular amino acid; and 'wobble' base-pairing, i.e. permitting non-standard base-pairing at the 3rd anti-codon position. The record is from Rfam by way of RNAcentral. Lineage: Eukaryota; Metazoa; Chordata; Mammalia; Artiodactyla; Bovidae.
UCCCUGGUGGCUCAGAUGGUAAAGAAUCUGCCUGCAAUGCAGGAGACCCUGGUUUGAUUCCUGGGUUGGGAA